This 253-nucleotide ribosomal RNA is filed under the name uncultured bacterium. RNAcentral describes it as "partial 16S ribosomal RNA". It matches the Rfam family "Bacterial small subunit ribosomal RNA", at positions 524 to 776 of the family's 1533-position model. The record is from RNAcentral.
UACGUAGGGUGCGAGCGUUAAUCGGAAUUACUGGGCGUAAAGCGUGCGCAGGCGGUUCGUUGUGUCGGUGGUGAAAGCCCCGGGCUUAACCUGGGAAUGGCCAUGGAAACUGGCGAACUGGAGUGUGGCAGAGGGGGGUGGAAUUCCGCGUGUAGCAGUGAAAUGCGUAGAGAUGCGGAGGAAUACCGAUGGCGAAGGCAGCCCCCUGGGCCAAUACUGACGCUCAUGCACGAAAGCGUGGGGAGCAAACAGG